AUGGAACAUUUCUUCCUUGUCAAUCAUCCUGAUCAUCAUCUGAAAUAUCAGGAGUGUAAACUGAUACUAUUUCCAACUACAAAGUGUUGGCUGCCCAGGAAGAAGGAAAGAAGAUACACAAAUGUGGUUUUCCAGGGAGCAUCAGGUACAUCUUAUGUGAGGAUGAACCAUCAGCUAAAGGGAGUGAUAGGAAAAAAAUUUGUUGAAUGCAAUGGGAAGGCGAAAAACAACACGCCUUGGCGAAGCAACUCUAAGAUUCGGCAAGAACAAAUCAGACGGAACAAGUUUGCUACGGCUUACGGCUUUUUUGUUGAUCCCUUCCCUGUAGGUUCUGAUCAUACGUGCGAGGGGAAUCAGGUAGGGCUUGAUGCGCCUUUCAUACGAAAUGUUGAUGAGAAUUACCCAAGUAGUCCAGCAGCUAACUACUCCAUGAUCACAGCAGUAAACAUUGAUAAGAGUACAAGCAUUGGAGGAGUACUCACCACGUUCGAGGAAGUCGUCAUCAUGGUGGUGGUGGUCGAGGAAGUCGUAGGUGCUGGUGGCAUCAUCACGGAGCAGGCACCAUCUUCUCCUUGA
RNAcentral lists this ribosomal RNA (576 nucleotides) under Triticum aestivum (bread wheat). Its description in RNAcentral is "partial small subunit ribosomal RNA". Lineage: Eukaryota; Viridiplantae; Streptophyta; Magnoliopsida; Poales; Poaceae. The record is from RNAcentral.